UCCAUUUACCGUCUUAGAUUCUCCACAUCCUCUAUGGUCUCUGGCAGGGCGACUCCACUCAUCUCAACACUCAUCAGGCAACAUUGUCACCAAUCCACUGUACAGCACCGACAUCACACAUAAAAACCAAUGUGAGGAACUUCUUACUAUGAGCUGAAACAGAUAUCUUAAAUUGCUUUGCUGCUUUACAGGAUGUUGUGCAAGACUAUCAGCAACUAGAAGUGCAGUGGAUGCCUUUCUGCAGCGUUUGGAUGAUGAGUUACAACUGAGCGCUAAAAUACUCGACGGGAACCAUCAGUCAAAAUAUACUUCACCAGAUACAUCUCUCAUUGAUGCCAAAAAAG
This is a long non-coding RNA of Sander lucioperca (pikeperch), 344 nucleotides long. RefSeq lists it as uncharacterized. The record is from RefSeq and is a predicted model, not a curated record. The transcript is spliced from 3 exons. NCBI's taxonomy places the organism in Eukaryota, Metazoa, Chordata, Actinopteri, Perciformes, Percidae.